UCAAGCUACAAAGGGCACACGGUGGAUGCCUUGGCGCUGGGAGCCGAUGAAGGACGUGGCAAGCUGCGAUAAGCCUCGGCGAGCUGCAAGCAAGCGUUUGAACCGGGGACGUCCGAAUGGGGAAACCCGCCGCGGGGAAUGCCGCGGCAUCCAUGCCUGAACACAUAGGGUAUGGAGGGGAACCGGGGGAACUGAAACAUCUAAGUACCCCGAGGAAAAGAGACAAUAUUGCAUUCCGUGAGUAGCGGCGAGCGAAAGCGGAGGAGCCUAAACCUCAUGCGCGUGAUAGCCUGCAGGCGUUGCGCAUGGGGGGUUGCAGGAGCGGCCGGGGAUCUCUGCAGGGAUCCGUCCGAUGCGAAGUUUCUUAGCCGAACGGCCUGGAACGGCCGGCCACAGGGGGUGAAAGCCCCGUAGGCGAAAGGGAACUUCGGAGGAUGGCCGCCACCUAAGUACCGCGGGACACGUGAAAUCCCGCGGGAAUCCGGGAGGACCACCUCCCAAGGCUAAAUACUACCCGGCGACCGAUAGUGAACUAGUACCGUGAGGGAAAGGUGAAAAGCACCCCGGGAGGGGAGUGAAAUAGUACCUGAAACCGUGUUGCCUACAAACAGUGGGAGGGCUAUGGUCGUAAGACCAGCCUGACCGCGUACUUUUUGUAGAACGGACCGGCGAGUUACGGUGUGCGGCAAGGUUAAGCGGAUGACGCGGAGCCGAAGCGAAAGCGAGUCUUAAUAGGGCGACAAGUCGCGCGCUGUAGACCCGAAACCGGGCGAUCUAUCCAUGGCCAGGGUGAAGCGAGAGUAACGUCUCGUGGAGGCCCGAACCCAUUAGUGUUGAAAAACUAUGGGAUGAGCUGUGGAUAGGGGUGAAAAGCCAAUCGAGCCCGGAGAUAGCUGGUUCUCCCCGAAAUAGCUUUAGGGCUAGCCUCGGGAAUAGGCUUGCGGAGGUAGAGCACUGAUCGGGCAAGGGGCCCUGAAAGGUUACCGACCCCUUUCAAACUCCGAAUGCCGCAAGCUGGUGCCCGGGAGUCAGACUGUGGGGGCUAAGCUUCAUAGUCGAGAGGGAAACAGCCCAGACCGCCGGCUAAGGUCCCAAAUUGACAGCUAAGUGGUUAAGGAUGUGGAACUGCCCAGACAACCAGGAUGUUGGCUUAGAAGCAGCCAUACAUUUAAAGAGUGCGUAAUAGCUCACUGGUCGAGUGGGUCUGCGCCGAAAAUGUCCGGGGCUCAAGCUGUCAACCGAAGCCGCGGAUCUCUGAAUUGGGAUGGUAGGGGAGCGUUGCCUGCUGGUUGAAGCACGACCGUAAGGACGUGUGGACGGCAGGGAAGUGAGAAUGCCGGUAUGAGUAGCGAAAAGGCAGGUGAGAAUCCUGCCCGCCGGAAGCCUAAGGUUUCCUGAGGAAGGUUCGUCCUCUCAGGGUAAGCCGGGACCUAAGCCGAGGCCGAAGGGCGUAGGCGAUGGACAACUGGUUGAGAUUCCAGUGCUGCCUCGAUCACGCUUGAGCGAAGCGGGGACGCAGAAGGGUAGACACAGCAGGCUGAUGGAAUAGCCUGUCCAAGCAAGUGGGGCGCCGCGUAGGUAAAUCCGCGCGGCACGAAGCCCGAGAUGCGAUGGGGUGCGGAUACGUCCGCUGAACUGGUCGAUCCCAAGCUGCCGAGAAAAGCCGCUAGCGAGUGGUCAGGCACCCGUACCGCAAACCGACACAGGUAGGCGAGGAGAGGAUCCUAAGGCGCGCGAGAGAACCCUCGUUAAGGAACUCGGCAAAAUCGCCCCGUAACCUAGGGAGAAGGGGCGCCCCGUUAGGGUGACUGGCUACACGCCAAGAGCCCGAGGGGGCCGCAGAGAAACGGCCCGAGCGACUGUUUACCACAAACACAGGUCUCUGCUAAGUCGCAAGACGAAGUAUAGGGGCUGACGCCUGCCCAGUGCCGGAAGGUUAAGGGGAGGGCUUAGCGGCAACGCAAAGGCCUGAACCGAAGCCCCGGUGAACGGCGGCCGUAACUAUAACGGUCCUAAGGUAGCGAAAUUCCUUGUCGGGUAAGUUCCGACCUGCACGAAUGGCGUAACGACUUGGGCGCUGUCUCAACGAGGGACUCGGCGAAACUGUAAGUGCACGUGAAGAUACGUGCUACCCACGAUUAGACGGAAAGACCCCAUGGAGCUUUACUGCAUCCUGAGAUUGGAUUUUGGCAGGGCAUGUACAGGAUAGGUGGGAGGCGCAGAGACGCGGACGCAAGUCUGCGUGGAGCCGCCCUUGGGAUACCACCCUUGUUUUGCUGGAGUUCUAACCCGCGGCCGUGAUCCGGUCGGGGGACAUUCUCAGGUGGGCAGUUUGACUGGGGCGGUCGCCUCCUAAAAGGUAACGGAGGCGCCCAAAGGUUCCCUCAGCGCGGUCGGAAAUCGCGCAUUGAGUGUAAAGGCACAAGGGAGCUUAACUGCGAGACCAACAAGUCGAGCAGGGACGAAAGUCGGGCUUAGUGAUCCGGUGGCACUGAGUGGAAGGGCCAUCGCUCAACGGAUAAAAGCUACCUCGGGGAUAACAGGCUUAUCUCCCCCAAGAGUCCAUAUCGACGGGGAGGUUUGGCACCUCGAUGUCGGCUCGUCGCAU
Molecule: ribosomal RNA, 2608 nt
Filed under: fermentation metagenome
Description: bacterial LSU rRNA
Rfam family: Bacterial large subunit ribosomal RNA
Source: RNAcentral